UCUUCCUCCUCAAUCCUCCCUGUUCUCUUUUCUAUCUAGGGUCGGCGAUGAGAGCCGCCACUGACUGUCGCAUCGGCCACCGCGUCAUCGCCGUCGUCGGUGGCCAUUCGAGCCUAAAUUUUAAGGGCAUGCUCGCCUCGAUGCGGUGGUCUCGGAUCGGGGCUCGGUUUCACAUGAAAAUGGCCUCCAACGCCAUGAAACAAGGCUGAGACCCUUCGGCUUCCAAUGCUCCAAUCUACCUUCUCCGCCGUUGAAUCGAUCCGAUCUUGAAGUAUGAUGUUCCCCUCCUCCAAAUGCUUCUCCUCACCGUUCGAAUUUAGCGAUGGAGGCUCCGAAAGUCGGCGAAUCCUUCGGCCGGGAGUUUGCAGGGAAUGGAGAUGGCAUGGUGGUGGCCUGAACCGGGUGGUAGGGUAUGGGAGGCCCGGAUUUCACGGGAUGGCUUACUGUUUUCUCUUCCUCUUUUUUUAUUAUUUUAUUUAUUUAUUA
Long non-coding RNA from Hibiscus syriacus, 486 nucleotides. RefSeq lists it as uncharacterized. NCBI's taxonomy places the organism in Eukaryota, Viridiplantae, Streptophyta, Magnoliopsida, Malvales, Malvaceae. The record is from RefSeq and is a predicted model, not a curated record. The transcript is spliced from 2 exons.